CGACCGAUACGCGGGAGCGCGCACCGAGCGUGCUGAGAGGACAGCUGGGGCUGUCGACCGUACGAACCUGACCGGGUAAUGCCGGCGUAGGGAGAUCUGAUGAGUGAAG
This 109-nucleotide non-coding RNA is filed under the name Mycobacterium sp. RNAcentral describes it as "TPP sequence". It matches the Rfam family "TPP riboswitch aptamer (THI element)". From Rfam's summary of the family: Vitamin B(1) in its active form thiamin pyrophosphate (TPP) is an essential coenzyme that is synthesised by coupling of pyrimidine and thiazole moieties in bacteria. The previously detected thiamin-regulatory element, thi box was extended, resulting in a new, highly conserved RNA secondary structure, the THI element, which is widely distributed in eubacteria and also occurs in some archaea. Lineage: Bacteria; Bacillati; Actinomycetota; Actinomycetes; Mycobacteriales; Mycobacteriaceae. The record is from RNAcentral.